Long non-coding RNA from Lathyrus oleraceus (garden pea), 1016 nucleotides. RefSeq lists it as uncharacterized. The transcript has 2 exons. The record is from RefSeq and is a predicted model, not a curated record. NCBI's taxonomy places the organism in Eukaryota, Viridiplantae, Streptophyta, Magnoliopsida, Fabales, Fabaceae.
UAACACAAAGUGUGGGACAAAAGAGGUAAAUAUGUUGUUGUUUAUAUAGAAGUACAGUACUAAAAUAUGUGGGAAUAUAGGAAUCUAUAGAUUCAAUCCAAACACUUGUAGACAAAUCACUUUGUGAAGACAAUUCUGACUCACUUGUGCUGCCCUUUAUGUUAUUAUUAACUUUCAAACAUUAAGACAUCCCUACAUCCAUCUCAUCAUUCACCACUAUACACAAUAUGCCAUUCAUUUUCUGUUCCCCUCCUUACCCUAACCCUAACCCUAACCCUAGCUAGCUACUACCCUAUCUUCUUUAAUCUCUCUAUAAAAGAACCUCAUUCUUCUUCCUUAAUACUUCACAUGUAUAAAUACUUGUUACUUUCUUCUAUAUAUAUACAUAUACAUACACUACUUUUACAUCAUUUCUUCCAUCAACAGUACAAUACAUGCAAGGAGAAAACUAGGGUUAACUGAAUGUUACAUUUAAUUUGGUUAUUUUUGUGUAGUAUUAUCAUCCUAGAUAUGCCUGGCUCCCUGUAUGCCAUUUGCGGAGCUCAUUAGGUUUUAAUGAUUGCCUCGGUGAAUGGCGUACCAGGAGCCAAGCAUGCUGUGAAAGAGAAGAACUCAACUGGUUUCUAUCUUUUACUAUAGUAAUAGACAAACGCCAGAUCUCUAACAAGUUCGACAAGCUUCUGGGUGAGUUGAUGCGUUGGUUCGAUCGGAAUUUAAUCGACUUUUCAGGAGAGCAAGGGAGAGUAGAGGGAUACUUAGCAUUAGCAAUGCACAUAAUCUUCAGUGAGGUAGAAAAUAUUUGGAACAGUCCUAAUAAGGUGCAUGAUUAACUUCAGAAAAAAUAAAGGUUUUGUUUACUCAUGCAGUGGAAAACAAGUCUGCUACAUCGUGACUAAAAAUUAGUGUUCUUUGAUAUUGUCUUAUUGUGUUGGUUUCAUUCUGAUUUGUUUAUUGAUGUAACAAAUCAGAAUGUGUAUGAAUUUUCCUCUAAGUAAUAAAAAUAUAUAGAUUCUUCA